RNAcentral lists this long non-coding RNA (353 nucleotides) under Linum usitatissimum (flax). Its description in RNAcentral is "long non-coding RNA (LUSI_LNC002095)". Lineage: Eukaryota; Viridiplantae; Streptophyta; Magnoliopsida; Malpighiales; Linaceae. The record is from RNAcentral.
GAAGAGGGGAGUGGUGGUGAAGAGGUGGAGAAGUGAAAUGGCAUAGCUGCUGCUACGGUAGAUUGGAGAGGAUUUCGAGGGAGGGAGAUGAGAGGAGGAGGAGGAGGAGGAAGAAGAAGAUUUGGAUAGAGUUGUUCAUGGGGGGAAGGAUUUGAUUCGUUUGAGAAAGGAAAGGAGGGAUCUUUGUGGAGGGGAAGUGAGUUAGAUGUCUGCCUUGGUUGCCUUCCACACAGACCCGCAAAACGGCAGAGUUGGGGUUUUCGAAACUAUAUGGGUACACACGGUUCGGCCAGUCUGAUCGUGGACCACUCGUCACAAAGGUGCAGUACAAUUUCGUUACAUGUAUGGUUCGA